This 450-nucleotide ribosomal RNA is filed under the name uncultured bacterium. RNAcentral's name for it is "bacterial SSU rRNA". It matches the Rfam family "Bacterial small subunit ribosomal RNA", at positions 30 to 526 of the family's 1533-position model. The record is from RNAcentral.
CGAACGCUGGCGGCAGGCCUAACACAUGCAAGUCGAACGCCGUAGCAAUACGGAGUGGCAGACGGGUGAGUAACGCGUGGGAACAUGCCCUUUGGUUCGGAAUAACUCAGGGAAACUUGAGCUAAUACCGGAUAAGCCCGAGAGGGGAAAGAUUUAUCGCCGAAGGAUUGGCCCGCGUCCGAUUAGCUAGUUGGUGAGGUAAUGGCUCACCAAGGCGACGAUCGGUAGCUGGUCUGAGAGGAUGAUCAGCCACACUGGGACUGAGACACGGCCCAGACUCCUACGGGAGGCAGCAGUGGGGAAUAUUGGACAAUGGGCGCAAGCCUGAUCCAGCCAUGCCGCGUGAGUGAUGAAGGCCCUAGGGUUGUAAAGCUCUUUCGCCAGGGACGAUAAUGACGGUACCUGGAUAAGAAGCCCCGGCUAACUUCGCGCCAGCAGCCGCGGUAAUCU